RNAcentral lists this ribosomal RNA (421 nucleotides) under uncultured bacterium. RNAcentral describes it as "bacterial SSU rRNA". It matches the Rfam family "Bacterial small subunit ribosomal RNA", at positions 358 to 772 of the family's 1533-position model. The record is from RNAcentral.
AGAAUCAUUCACAAUGGGCGAAAGCCUGAUGGUGUGACGCCGCGUGGAGGAUGAAGGUCUUCGGAUUGUAAACUCCUGUCAUGUGAGAGUAAAGCCGGGCGUUAACUGCGUGCCGGUUUGUGCGUACCACAAGAGGAAGAGACGGCUAACCCUGUGCCAGCAGCCGCGGUAAUACAGAGGUCUCAAGCGUUGUUCGGAAUCACUGGGCGUAAAGGGUGCGUAGGCUGCACGGUAAGUCAGAGGUGAAAUCCCGGAGCUCAACUUCGGAAUUGCCUCCGAUACUGCCGUGCUUGAGGACUGGAGAGGAGAUUGGAAUUCACAGUGGAGCAGUGAAAUGCGUAGAUAUUGUGAGGAACACUAGUGGCGAAGGCGAAUCUCUGGACGGUUCCUGACGCUGAGGCACGAAGGCCAGGGGAGCAAA